RNAcentral lists this ribosomal RNA (513 nucleotides) under uncultured bacterium. RNAcentral describes it as "partial 16S ribosomal RNA". It matches the Rfam family "Bacterial small subunit ribosomal RNA", at positions 28 to 523 of the family's 1533-position model. The record is from RNAcentral.
GACGAACGCUGGCGGCGUGCCUAAUACAUGCAAGUAGAACGCUGAAGAAAGGAGCUUGCUUCUUUUGGAUGAGUUGCGAACGGGUGAGUAACGCGUAGGUAACCUGCCUUGUAGCGGGGGAUAACUAUUGGAAACGAUAGCUAAUACCGCAUAACAGCUUUUGACACAUGUUAGAAGCUUGAAAGAUGCAAUUGCAUCACUACGAGAUGGACCUGCGUUGUAUUAGCUAGUAGGUAGGGUAACGGCCUACCUAGGCGACGAUACAUAGCCGACCUGAGAGGGUGAUCGGCCACACUGGGACUGAGACACGGCCCAGACUCCUACGGGAGGCAGCAGUAGGGAAUCUUCGGCAAUGGGGGCAACCCUGACCGAGCAACGCCGCGUGAGUGGAGAAGGUUUUCGGAUCGUAAAGCUCUGUUGUAAGAGAAGAACGUGUGUGAGAGUGGAAAGUUCACACAGUGACGGUAACUUACCAGAAAGGGACGGCUAACUACGUGCCAGCCGCCGCAGUAA